Molecule: long non-coding RNA, 798 nt
Organism: Mastomys coucha (southern multimammate mouse)
Lineage: Eukaryota; Metazoa; Chordata; Mammalia; Rodentia; Muridae
Exons: 3
Source: RefSeq, a predicted model, not a curated record
UGCAGAAGGGGCGCGGCUCCUGCGUGUGUUGGAGGAUAGGAUUGAGAUCUGGCCACGCCUUAAUCACGACCGGAUUCGUUUGUGCACAGUGCGGAGCUGCAAAGACUGACUACACCAAGUAUGCCGGCCCUCAAGCUUCCUGGAAUUCUUUCUCCACCUUUCAUCUCCAAGUUCUGGGAGUGUGGAUGGAAUGAGCAUCUCCAAGCUAGCUUCUUAUCGUGUGAUUUAUUCCAAACUUCGGACUCCACCUUCAGAGUACCCGGUUCUGUUCAGCUCAGCAUCUUAGCUCCUCAAGAUCUCCAGGCCGUUUGCCCAAGUUCUCUCUGCAUUUAGCUGAGUGCGCCCUCUGCUGCUCACGUGCACGACUCAAAACUAUAAAGUCUAUGGACAUCAGCACAGGCAAUUGCCCAGUUUUUCAAGGUUUGGGACCCUACCUCACCCCCACUCUGUCUCUCCAGAAGAAUGAAACUCUUUGGCUUGGCCUGCAAGUCUUCGCUAAUCUGAGUCUGGACACUCUGAGAAAACCGGCCAUCCCUCUUCCUUGGCCCCUGGUCAUCUCCUGCACCCCAAGAGAGCAGAGUUGCCCUCUUCCCUUGCUGUCCUCCCCACUUCUGGCUCACAGGAGCCCCCUUCCCUUGAGCUCAACUUACUGGAGUCAGAGUGAGAGCUGGCCUUUCAGGAUUUGGGAGGACAUGGCCCUUCUGAGAUGGAUAAAGCGAUUGCUAGUCACCAAGCCAGAUAUCUGGAACCCACAUGAUAUAAGUCGAGAACCAACUCCAGAAAGUUGUACAUACACAC